This 300-nucleotide ribosomal RNA is filed under the name uncultured Ignavibacterium sp. RNAcentral describes it as "bacterial SSU rRNA". It matches the Rfam family "Bacterial small subunit ribosomal RNA", at positions 496 to 795 of the family's 1533-position model. Lineage: Bacteria; Pseudomonadati; Ignavibacteriota; Ignavibacteria; Ignavibacteriales; Ignavibacteriaceae. The record is from RNAcentral.
GCUAACUACGUGCCAGCAGCCGCGGUAAUACGUAGGGGGCAAGCGUUGUCCGGAUUUACUGGGUGUAAAGGGCGCGCAGGCGGAAUGGAAAGUCAGUGGUGAAAUCCUACAGCUUAACUGUAGAACUGCCUUUGAUACUUUCAUUCUUGAGUUCGGGAGAGAGAGACGGAAUUCCAGGUGUAGUGGUGAAAUACGUAGAUAUCUGGAAGAACACCAGUUGCGAAGGCGGUCUCUUGGUCCGAUACUGACGCUGAGGCGCGAAAGCGUGGGGAGCAAACAGGAUUAGAUACCCGUGUAGUC